This 517-nucleotide ribosomal RNA is filed under the name uncultured bacterium. RNAcentral's name for it is "bacterial SSU rRNA". It matches the Rfam family "Bacterial small subunit ribosomal RNA", at positions 501 to 1016 of the family's 1533-position model. The record is from RNAcentral.
CUACGUGCCAGCAGCCGCGGUAAUACGUAGGUCCCGAGCGUUGUCCGGAUUUAUUGGGCGUAAAGCGAGCGCAGGCGGUUUGAUAAGUCUGAAGUUAAAGGCUGUGGCUCAACCAUAGUUCGCUUUGGAAACUGUCAAACUUGAGUGCAGAAGGGGAGAGUGGAAUUCCAUGUGUAGCGGUGAAAUGCGUAGAUAUAUGGAGGAACACCGGUGGCGAAAGCGGCUCUCUGGUCUGUAACUGACGCUGAGGCUCGAAAGCGUGGGGAGCGAACAGGAUUAGAUACCCUGGUAGUCCACGCCGUAAACGAUGAGUGCUAGGUGUUGGAUCCUUUCCGGGAUUCAGUGCCGCAGCUAACGCACUAAGCACUCCGCCUGGGGAGUACGACCGCAAGGUUGAAACUCAAAGGAAUUGACGGGGGCCCGCACAAGCGGUGGAGCAUGUGGUUUAAUUCGAAGCAACGCGAAGAACCUUACCAGGUCUUGACAUCCCGAUGCUAUUUCUAGAGAUAGAAAGUUA